UGCUUUUGAAUAAGAUUACCAACUUCCGGGC
This 31-nucleotide non-coding RNA is filed under the name Rattus norvegicus (Norway rat). Lineage: Eukaryota; Metazoa; Chordata; Mammalia; Rodentia; Muridae. The record is from RNAcentral.